UGAGACACAUGAGUAGCUUUGUGACAUUUAUGAAAAACUUUUCAAUAUGUCAACAUAUUUAUAUUCGAGUUAUAAAAGUUCAGUUCCAUUCUCUCUGAAAAUCGCCACAUUUCUUUUCUGCCUUCCAAAGAAUGCAUUAUGGCUGCUAAACUGCUCUCCUCCUGCAAAAUCCAUAGAAACAGAGCAAUUCCAGAUGCUGUUUUGCAAAAUAGAAAAGCUGUUUUGGUCUGCAGAAAGAUGGAAGUCUCAUUGCUUGAUAUACAAAUGAGCCAAAUAGAACAUGGCCAAAUUAGCAGCAGGCUGAAACAUUCAAUAUGGCGUUAUGGGUGGAUUCUGCAGCGCAAUUAGAAACAUGUCUGUGCUUCCAAGAACACAAUUAGGUGCCACAUAAUUACAUCUGUCUAAACACUUCAUACUCAAUUAGGUGCCACACUACUCUGGCUGUCUAAACAGACUUCAUAUACAAAACAACAGGUGGUUUGUCUCUCUGCUGGACUUACUCAGUGAAAGCAAAAGGCUUUCUAGUUACAUGACCUCAGCUAAGGAGCCAUCUUAGAAGGCACAAAGGGGAUGGAAACCUGGCUUCCACUGUAUGGAAGAAAAAGUGGCUUAACACAGUUCUCUGUGGAACUUUUCUCUGUGACCUUUUGGCUACAAUGAGACCAUCGGAACAGCUCUCUUUCAAGGUUUUCUGAAGACAGGGAACUAUUUUGAACAAAUAAAGCAUCCAAGAGCACAUAAACCAACAGCUUCAAAUUCAUACAUGGCCAUUAUGCUACAAAUAUGCAUUUUUCUCACUCCGGGGACCAAACAUCUCUCAAUUACAAGCUUCGCUAUUUAAGGGAAGUAUCCUAUUAUGAUUAACUGUACUGUGGUGCUCUAAAAACUAGCUCCAAAAUAGCAGGUCCAAGAAACAGA
Molecule: long non-coding RNA, 918 nt
Organism: Thamnophis elegans (Western terrestrial garter snake)
Lineage: Eukaryota; Metazoa; Chordata; Lepidosauria; Squamata; Natricidae
Exons: 3
Source: RefSeq, a predicted model, not a curated record